Molecule: ribosomal RNA, 445 nt
Filed under: uncultured soil bacterium
Lineage: Bacteria
Description: bacterial SSU rRNA
Rfam family: Bacterial small subunit ribosomal RNA
Source: RNAcentral
AGAACGAACGCUGGCGGCAGGCUUAACACAUGCAAGUCGAACGGUUGUAGCAAUACAGCAGUGGCAGACGGGUGAGUAACACGUGGGAACCUUCCUAGGGGUACGGAACAACUCAGGGAAACUUGAGCUAAUACCGUAUACGUCCGUGAGGAGAAAGUUUUAACGCCCCUAGACGGGCCCGCGUAGGAUUAGGUAGUUGGUGAGGUAACGGCUCACCAAGCCUACGAUCCUUAGCUGAUCUGAGAGGAUGAUCAGCCACACUGGGACUGAGACACGGCCCAGACUCCUACGGGAGGCAGCAGUGGGGAAUCUUGGACAAUGGGCGCAAGCCUGAUCCAGCCAUGCCGCGUGAGUGAAGAAGGCCUUCGGGUGUAAGCUCUUUACCAGGGACGAUAAUGACGGUACCUGGAGAAUAAGCCCCGGCAAACUUCGUGCCAGCAGCCGC